RNAcentral lists this ribosomal RNA (567 nucleotides) under uncultured bacterium. RNAcentral describes it as "partial 16S ribosomal RNA". It matches the Rfam family "Bacterial small subunit ribosomal RNA", at positions 355 to 915 of the family's 1533-position model. The record is from RNAcentral.
UGGGGAAUUUUGGACAAUGGGGGAAACCCUGAUCCAGCCAUCCCGCGUGUGCGAUGAAGGCCUUCGGGUUGUAAAGCACUUUUGGCAGGAAAGAAACGUCGCGGGUUAAUACCCCGCGAAACUGACGGUACCUGCAGAAUAAGCACCGGCUAACUACGUGCCAGCAGCCGCGGUAAUACGUAGGGUGCAAGCGUUAAUCGGAAUUACUGGGCGUAAAGCGUGCGCAGGCGGUUCGGAAAGAAAGAUGUGAAAUCCCAGAGCUUAACUUUGGAACUGCAUUUUUAACUACCGGGCUAGAGUGUGUCAGAGGGAGGUGGAAUUCCGCGUGUAGCAGUGAAAUGCGUAGAUAUGCGGAGGAACACCGAUGGCGAAGGCAGCCUCCUGGGAUAACACUGACGCUCAUGCACGAAAGCGUGGGGAGCAAACAGGAUUAGAUACCCUGGUAGUCCACGCCCUAAACGAUGUCAACUAGCUGUUGGGGCCUUCGGGCCUUGGUAGCGCAGCUAACGCGUGAAGUUGACCGCCUGGGGAGUACGGUCGCAAGAUUAAAACUCAAAGGAAUUGAAC